CGAGUUUUAAAUAUUUGUAUUAUUUAUAUGUACAUAAACUAGUCAAAAUAUGCCCCUUUAAUUUAAAGUUGUUUUUCCACUUCAACUGCAUAUCAUGCUCAAACGUAGCAUCGACUCUGUUAACUGAGGCCGGUCGCAGUAUAAAAAAGUACUUAAUGUGUGUGCGAAUGUUAGCCAAUCACACUGCAUAGUUCAGAGUUAAAUCCUAAUUUUUAAAUAUUGGUUGAGGCAGUAAGCUGGAACCGUUGAAUUAAUGAGAUUCUGUAAAUAGGUUUGUGCCUGCUAGUUCUUCCGAAAUAUGACCAAAACGGCUUUGUUUUCGCCAAGACGAGAUUUUUUGGCAUGUUAUGUAAUUAUAUUUUCAACGCUUUUCAUCACAAAUUUCGACAGAAAACAAAUGCUACGGUAUGGCUGGUUGUGGUACGUUUGAAGUGGAAACUAUAAAGCCAGGUUUCCACUUCAAUCGUAUCGUACCGAAGCGUAUUUCUUUGGUUAACGACGUCCACACAAAAGAAAAUGCUACGUUACGUUACGAUUGAAGUGGAAACUAAAGCCGGUUUUCCACUUCGCCCGUAUUGUAGCGAAACAUAUUGGUGAGCAUGCGCAGAUUGAAAAGAGGUUUAUAAAUCCACUUACUUCCGGGCGUAUUCGCGUAUCAAAAUAAAAAGCUCGUCGCAAGUCAACUUUUUGGCGUACUACGAAGUACUACCAAUCAACAGUCAUGAAAUUUUGAAAUUUAAAAACGUUUUUGAUACUUUUCGGUACGCUUGAAGUGGAAAAUCGGCUUAAGUUUCUCUUUGGCUUUAGUCUUAAGCCUGAUUCACAUAUGCCUGCGACUAUAUCAUUAUGCCUCUACUUGCCGCCGAAAUACCGGCAAAGUUGAACUCAACUCAACUUUCCCGGCCUACCGCCGAUGUAACUGUGGCACUGGAGGCAAUCGGCGAAACAGUCCACAUGGCCUUUUGCUGCUUUUCAGUUAUGAAAGACUCAUUUUUUAUUGUUUUGCUAAAAAGUACUGCUAGAGCGAUGAAGAAUGACG
Molecule: non-coding RNA, 1039 nt
Organism: Paramuricea clavata
Lineage: Eukaryota; Metazoa; Cnidaria; Anthozoa; Malacalcyonacea; Plexauridae
Source: the annotation of a GenBank genome assembly